This is a small nuclear RNA of Otolemur garnettii (small-eared galago), 104 nucleotides long. NCBI's taxonomy places the organism in Eukaryota, Metazoa, Chordata, Mammalia, Primates, Galagidae. The record is from Ensembl.
GUGCUUGCUUCGGCAGCUCAUAUACUAAAAUUGGAACAAUGAAGAGAUUAGCAUGGCCCCUGCACAAGGAUGACACACGAAUUAGUGAAGUGUUCCAUAUUUAA